This 377-nucleotide long non-coding RNA is filed under the name Junco hyemalis (dark-eyed junco). RNAcentral describes it as "lncRNA (ENSJHYG00000018210.1)". The record is from RNAcentral. Lineage: Eukaryota; Metazoa; Chordata; Aves; Passeriformes; Passerellidae.
CCUGGUUGCAACUGGGAUCGUUCAUAUCUCUAUCUUGUGUGGAGGGACUGCUGCAAAAAAUCAGAGAUAAGUAACCAGACAACCCAGCAGCUCAGAUGUGAGGGCCUGAGCUCUUGGUCAGGAGCCGUGUGUGGCAGAGGAGGAAAAACGUGCAGCUCAUUCAUGGGGAUGCUGCGUGGAGCUGCCCUGGAAGAGCCUGUGGGUGUUUGCUGAAUGCUUCGUAAUUAAGCUGAUUCUGGGCAUGCUGAUUAUAAUUUCAGUGAGAUGUGGAACAUCCUGCAAAUACUUGCAUAAACAUCUGAUUCCCAGGACACACGCGAGCAGGGAUCCUUGCUGUGCCAAGUACUGCAGACUGCAUGGGGCAUCCAUAAUCCAGC